AGUGAACGCUGGCGGCAGGCCUAAUACAUGCAAGUCGAACGGCAGCACAGUGGCGCUUGCUCCAUGGGUGGCGAGUGGCGGACGGGUGAGGAAUACAUGGGAAUCUGCCCAGUCGUGGGGGAUAACGUAGGGAGACUUACGCUAAUACCGCAUGCGCCCUUCGGGGGAAAGCCGGGGACCUUCGGGCCUUGCGCGUUUGGAUGAGCCCAUGUUCGAUUAGCUAGUUGGCGGGGUAAAGGCCCACCAAGGCGACGAUCGAUAGCUGGUCUGAGAGGAUGAUCAGCCACACUGGGACUGAGACACGGCCCAGACUCCUACGGGAGGUAGCAGUAGGGAAUAUUGGACAAUGGGCGCAAGCCUGAUCCAGCCAUGCCGCGUGAGUGAAGAAGGCCCUCGGGUUGUAAAGCUCUUUUGUCCGGGAAGAAAAGCAUCAGGCUAAUACCUCGGUGUUCUGACGGUACCGGAAGAAUAAGCACCGGCUAACUUCGUG
This 490-nucleotide ribosomal RNA is filed under the name uncultured bacterium. RNAcentral's name for it is "partial 16S ribosomal RNA". It matches the Rfam family "Bacterial small subunit ribosomal RNA", at positions 29 to 507 of the family's 1533-position model. The record is from RNAcentral.